CCUACGGGAGGCAGCAGUGAGGAAUAUUGGUCAAUGGACGCAAGUCUGAACCAGCCAUGCCGCGUGAAGGAAGACGGCUCUAUGAGUUGUAAACUUCUUUUGUACGAGGGUAAACGCAGAUACGCGUAUCUGUCUGAAAGUAUCUUACGAAUAAGGAUCGGCUAACUCCGUGCCAGCAGCCGCGGUAAUACGGAGGAUUCAAGCGUUAUCCGGAUUUAUUGGGUUUAAAGGGUGCGUAGGCGGUCGGAUAAGUUAGAUGUGAAAUCCUGAGGCUCAACUUCGGAAUUGCAUUUGAUACUGGUAGGCUAGAGUGCAGUUGCGGUAGGCGGAAUGCAUGGUGUAGCGGUGAAAUGCUUAGAGAUCACACAGAACACCGAUUGCGAAGGCAGCUUACCAAGCUACUGCUGACGUUGAGGCACGAAAGCGUGGGGAGCAAACAGGAUUAGAUACCCGAGUAGUC
This 460-nucleotide ribosomal RNA is filed under the name uncultured bacterium. RNAcentral describes it as "partial 16S ribosomal RNA". It matches the Rfam family "Bacterial small subunit ribosomal RNA", at positions 338 to 795 of the family's 1533-position model. The record is from RNAcentral.